This 77-nucleotide transfer RNA is filed under the name Saprospirales bacterium. RNAcentral's name for it is "tRNA-Met". It matches the Rfam family "tRNA". From Rfam's summary of the family: Transfer RNA (tRNA) molecules are approximately 80 nucleotides in length. Their secondary structure includes four short double-helical elements and three loops (D, anti-codon, and T loops). Further hydrogen bonds mediate the characteristic L-shaped molecular structure. tRNAs have two regions of fundamental functional importance: the anti-codon, which is responsible for specific mRNA codon recognition, and the 3' end, to which the tRNAs corresponding amino acid is attached (by aminoacyl-tRNA synthetases). tRNAs cope with the degeneracy of the genetic code in two manners: having more than one tRNA (with a specific anti-codon) for a particular amino acid; and 'wobble' base-pairing, i.e. permitting non-standard base-pairing at the 3rd anti-codon position. The record is from RNAcentral. Lineage: Bacteria; Pseudomonadati; Bacteroidota; Saprospiria; Saprospirales.
GGCGUGGUAGCUCAGCUGGUUAGAGCGCAGCAUUCAUAAUGCUGAGGUCGGCAGUUCAAGCCUGCCUCACGCUACUA